GAACGAACGCUGGCGGCGCGCCUAAUACAUGCAAGUCGAGCGAGAAGACGUAGCAAUACGUUUGUAAAGCGGCGAACGGGUGAGGAAUACAUGGGUAACCUACCCUCGAGUGGGGAAUAACUAGCCGAAAGGUUAGCUAAUACCGCGUACGCUCCUUGGACUUCGGUUCAGGGAGGAAAGCGAUACCGUGGGUAUCGCGCUCUUGAAUGGGCUCAUGUCCUAUCAGCUUGUUGGUGAGGAACGGCUCACCAAGGCUUCGACGGGUAGCUGGUCUGAGAGGACGAUCAGCCACACUGGCACUGCGACACGGGCCAGACUCCUACGGGAGGCAGCAGUAAGGAAUAUUGCGCAAUGGGCGAAAGCCUGACGCAGCGACGCCGCGUGGGGGAGUGAAGGU
This 397-nucleotide ribosomal RNA is filed under the name uncultured bacterium. Its description in RNAcentral is "bacterial SSU rRNA". It matches the Rfam family "Bacterial small subunit ribosomal RNA", at positions 27 to 415 of the family's 1533-position model. The record is from RNAcentral.